RNAcentral lists this ribosomal RNA (1186 nucleotides) under uncultured fungus. Its description in RNAcentral is "eukaryotic LSU rRNA". The stretch from base 536 to 1186 matches the Rfam family "Eukaryotic large subunit ribosomal RNA", at positions 1 to 667 of the family's 3401-position model. Lineage: Eukaryota; Fungi. The record is from RNAcentral.
CUUGGUCAUUUAGAGGAAGUAAAAGUCGUAACAAGGUUUCCGUAGGUGAACCUGCGGAAGGAUCAUUACAGAGUUCAUGCCCUUCGGGGUAGACCUCCCACCCUAUGUAUACAUUGCCUUUGUUGCUUUGGCGGACCGCCUUUCGGCCACCGGCUUCGGUUGGUGCGUGUCCGCCAGAGAACCCCAAACCCUGUCUUACAGUGUCGUCCGAGUACUAUAUAAUAGUUAAAACUUUCAACAACGGAUCUCUUGGUUCUGGCAUCGAUGAAGAACGCAGCGAAAUGCGAUAAUUAAUGUGAAUUGCAGAAUUUAGUGAAUCAUCGAAUCUUUGAACGCACAUUGCGCCCCUUGGUAUUCCGGGGGGCAUGCCUGUUCGAGCGUCAUUUCAACCCUCAAGCUCUGCUUGGUAUUGGGCCGCGCCGGCAACGGCGGGCCUCAAACAUAGUGGCGGCGCCAUCGUGUCCCUCAGCGUAGUAAUUCUUCUCGCUGUUGGGUUCCGGUGAACGCUGGCCAGCAACCCCCAAUUUUCUAUGGUUGACCUCGGAUCAGGUAGGGAUACCCGCUGAACUUAAGCAUAUCAAUAAGCGGAGGAAAAGAAACCAACAGGGAUUGCCUCAGUAACGGCGAGUGAAGCGGCAACAGCUCAAAUUUGAAAUCUGGCUCUUUUAGGGUCCGAGUUGUAAUUUGUAGAAGAUGCUUUGGGUGUGGCUCCGGUCUAAGUUCCUUGGAACAGGAUGUCAUAGAGGGUGAGAACCCCGUAUGUGACUGGUUGCCUCCCCCGUGUAAAGCUCUUUCGACGAGUCGAGUUGUUUGGGAAUGCAGCUCAAAAUGGGUGGUAAAUUUCAUCUAAAGCUAAAUAUUGGCCAGAGACCGAUAGCGCACAAGUAGAGUGAUCGAAAGAUGAAAAGCACUUUGGAAAGAGAGUUAAACAGUACGUGAAAUUGUUGAAAGGGAAGCGCUUGCAAUCAGACUUGCGCGCGGCCGAUCAUCCGAGGUUUUCCCCGGUGCACUCGACCGCGCUCAGGCCAGCAUCGGUUUCGGUGGUGGGAUAAAGGCCUUGGGAAUGUGACUCCUCUCGGGGAGUGUUAUGGCCCUCGGUGCAAUGCCGCCUAUCGGGACCGAGGACCGCGCUUCGGCUAGGAUGCUGGCGUAAUGGUUGCAAGCGACCCGUCUUGAAACACGGACC